Molecule: ribosomal RNA, 169 nt
Filed under: uncultured bacterium
Lineage: Bacteria
Description: partial 16S rRNA
Rfam family: Bacterial small subunit ribosomal RNA
Source: RNAcentral
CCUACGGGAGGCAGCAGCAAGGAAUUUUCGUCAAUGGGCGCAAGCCUGAACGAGCAACGCCGCGUGGAGGAUGACGGCCUUCGGGUUGUAAACUCCUUUUCUAGGGGACGAUGAUGACGGUACCCUGGGAAUAAGGCUCGGCUAACUCUGUGCCAGCAGCCGCGGUAAU